Molecule: non-coding RNA, 410 nt
Organism: Xyrichtys novacula (pearly razorfish)
Lineage: Eukaryota; Metazoa; Chordata; Actinopteri; Labriformes; Labridae
Source: the annotation of a GenBank genome assembly
GGUCUGGUGUGUUGUUGCAUUAAGAGUUUGGACUGUUUUAAUCCGUCUCUGUGUUUUAGAGGUCAGCGUGUGUGUGUGUGUGUGUGUGUGUGUGUCUGUGUCUGUGUGUGUGUGUGUGUGUCUGUGUGUGUGUGUGUGUGUGUGUGUGUGUGUGUGUGUGUGUGUGUGUGUGUGUGUGUCUGUGUGUGUGUGUGUGUGUGUGUGUGUGUCUGUGUGUGUGUGUGUGUGUGUGUGUGUCUGUGUCUGUGUGUGUGUAUGUGUGUCUGUGUGUGUGUGUGUGUGUGUGUGUGUGUGUGUGUGUGUGUGUGUGUGUGUGUGUGUGUGUGUGUGUGUGUGUGUGUGUGUGUGUGUGUGUGUGUGUGUGUGUGUGUGUGUGUGUGUGUGUUGUGUCUGGAGCUCCUGUGUUCACC